AUGCCUUUUCUUUCACUACUAUUUGUACAGCAAACCAACGGAGGGAGUACAAUGCCUUCUAACCAUGCAGUAGCAGUUCCCACCCAAUGCUACUGUUUUGUACACAGACGAGAAGUUUGUUUGAGAAAGAGGAGCAUGCUUCCUGCCUUUCAUCCAAUAUUAUAUAUUUCUAUUUCUUAUGUGGAACUAACAAUUCAUGUCUCUAGCUUCUACUACUUUAUCGUUUUAGACAAAAGCUUUUGUAACCAUGAUGCUGGUAUACUUGUGAUACGGACUACAUGUGCUACCACAUUAAUAGGUUCAUUCGUCGCAAGGAAAAAAAUCUACUUGGUGUCGGGAACCAAAGCAACAACAGAUCAAGUUACUUGGUCGGAAGAAAUUGUCAAGGGUCGCAUCUUACGCAUGAUUGGAAGUGGCGAUCUUUUGUCUAUCUCACCUAAGUUACAUGAUAUAAAAGGUGUAGAACAACCUAGAAUUUUGCGCCUCAACUAUGUGUCAUAUUUUCUUAUUAUCAUAUACUUUUUUUGA
RNAcentral lists this ribosomal RNA (528 nucleotides) under Triticum aestivum (bread wheat). Its description in RNAcentral is "partial small subunit ribosomal RNA". The record is from RNAcentral. Lineage: Eukaryota; Viridiplantae; Streptophyta; Magnoliopsida; Poales; Poaceae.